GAUGAACGCUGGCGGCAUGCCUAACACAUGCAAGUCGAACGAAAGCAUGAGCAAGUUUCCUUUGUUGUUUUCGCGUCGGACACGGGAGUGUCAUGUAUCGAAACGUCCUUUUUGACUGGGGAAAAUGCGGGGAACGUGAGCCAAAUACGGCAUAUUCUUUGAAGCGGAUAGUUCAAAAGUUUCAGACGGUCCGCCUGUCACUCGUACAUUGUCCGAUGCUGCAGUAGCUAGUUGGUAGGGUAACGGCUUACCAAGGCAACGAUGCAUAGCCGACCUGAGAGGAUGAUCGGCCACACUGGAACUGAGACACGGUCCAGACUCCUACGGGAGGCAGCAGUAGGGAAUCUUCCGCAAUGGGCGAAAGCCUGACGGAGCCACGCCGCGUGAGUGAUGAAGGUCUUCGGAUCGUAAAACUCUGUUAUUAGGGAAGAACAUAUGUGUAAGUAACUGUGCACAUCUUGACGGUACCUAAUCAGAAAGCCACGGCUAACUACGUG
Molecule: ribosomal RNA, 497 nt
Filed under: uncultured bacterium
Lineage: Bacteria
Description: partial 16S ribosomal RNA
Rfam family: Bacterial small subunit ribosomal RNA
Source: RNAcentral